ACGGCCUUCGGGUUGUAAAGCCUUCAGUUGGGACGAAGCUUCGUCGGUUAAUAGCCGACUGGAGUGACGGUACCUUCAGAAGAAGCCCCGGCUAACUACGUGC
Molecule: ribosomal RNA, 103 nt
Filed under: uncultured bacterium
Lineage: Bacteria
Description: partial 16S ribosomal RNA
Source: RNAcentral